Molecule: ribosomal RNA, 453 nt
Filed under: uncultured bacterium
Lineage: Bacteria
Description: partial 16S ribosomal RNA
Rfam family: Bacterial small subunit ribosomal RNA
Source: RNAcentral
AGUGCCUAAUACAUGCAAGUCGAGCGGCAGCACGAGUAGUUUACUACUUGGUGGCGAGCGGCGGACGGCUGAGUAACGCGUGGGAACGUGCCCCAAAGUGAGGAAUAACUGCCCGAAAGGGUAGCUAAUACCGCAUAUGAUCUUCGGAUUAAAGUAUUUAUUACGCUUUGGGAGCGGACCGCGUCCGAUUAGAUAGUUGGUGGGGUAAAGGCCUACCAAGCCGACGAUCCUUAGCUGGUCUGAGAGGAUGAUCAGCCACACUGGGACUGAGACACGGCCCAGACUCCUACGGGAGGCAGCAGUGGGGAAUAUUGGACAAUGGGCGCAAGCCUGAUCCAGCAAUGCCGCGUGAGUGAUGAAGGCCUUCGGGUCGUAAAGCUCUUUUACCAGGGAUGAUAAUGACAGUACCUGGAGAAUAAGCUCCGGCUAACUCCGUGCCAGCCGCCGCAGUAG